Alligator sinensis (Chinese alligator) is the source of this 2498-nucleotide long non-coding RNA. RefSeq lists it as uncharacterized. Lineage: Eukaryota; Metazoa; Chordata; Crocodylia; Alligatoridae. The transcript has 4 exons. The record is from RefSeq and is a predicted model, not a curated record.
CCCCCCCGCCCCGGCACCGCCACGGCCGCUUACGUGAGCGUUUUAGAGUAGAAGGCCGCGGCCUCCCGAGCCCGGGAUUUAUAGUCAGCGAGAUCUCGCGAGAGCAGCGGGACCCCGCGCCCUGCAUGAGUCACACGCCCCCUGGCGCACAGGAACGGGUCGCCUCUUCGCUAUACAGGGCGCAUGCGUAGAGAGGCGGGGGCCCCGGAGCGAGCAUGAGUUAAAAGCAGGAGUAUAAAAACGGUGGGGGGGCAGGGCCAAGUUCCUUUUGCAGGGGUCGGGGGGAGAGGUGAUAAGUGGUACGGCAGUGUGGGGUCAGUUUUGUAGGAUUUAGUGCUGUUUGGGUUCAGGUAUACAGCUCAAAAAAACAGAAAGCUGUAGGUUUUUUAUGUUUCUUGCAAAAAAAAAAAAGCUGUAGGCUUUUAUAUUUGUUGCAAAUAUAUAUAUAUUUACUAAAACAAACAUUAAGAAAAGCAAGAGCACAGGUCCUGCUGAGGGUAAGGAGCCCCGUUGCAUUGGCUCACGGGUGAGCAGACACAAGAUUGGGGGGGGGGUCUGGUUUCAGGGCCUCGGAGGAGAACUGUGCAGAGAGCGGGGAUCUGCAGCUGGAGCUCUCUGGAUCUGCUGGGGGAGGCAGCCGGAGAGAGCAGCUGAUCACCAUUGAAUUGCGCACCCCUGAAAUAGAGGAAAAGGAUGUGCGGCUUUGGCUGAAAAAAGCACUGCAAGAACAUGGGAACCAUGGAGAAAGACCGAGACAAAGGUGGGAUAUGGGCUGGUGCCUGGAAGGCCUAGCCCGUGCUGAGGCAUGCCUGGGAAGCCUGGAGAGCUCUAGCACUUGCCCAUGACCUUCAUCCCGGGCCCACCUGGGCUUUGUUUCCUCCCGGGGGCUGCCCAAGCUGUGCCGCGCUUGCAGGGCGCAGGGGUGCUUGGCGGUGGGUUGCCCUGUCCAAGUCUGCUCCACGUGCAAAGUGAAAGGCCAACAAGGCCCAGGACCGUAAGGAGCUCUGGCGCUGUAACUUGUGUGGGGAAAAGGGACAGGUUUUUAAAGCCUGCCCCAAAUGCUUCGUCCCCAUGUUGAAGAGCGAAGGGGUGGCUGCCGUGGUCCCGAUCUCCGAAGCAUCAAUAGGGAGCAAGGGGGCAGAGGAGAAAAAAGAAGAGCCCCUGAAGAGGAGGCAUGGGAAGGAGACCCGCGAGUCGAGUGGGAAUGGGAGGGGGUUGUCCCAGCACUCGGCGCUCACCUGCGAGGGAAUCGCCUUGGACGAAUCUUGCAAAAGAAGUAGAGGUCCCCAUCCCCACCCUGCAGAGGCCACCAUGAACCGAGGGCAUGCACCAGGCCGUCUCGUGCACCCCACUGGAGGGGGGCUGUGGGCCUCGGCAUCCCACCUGCAGACUGCUGAUGCCUAAGAGAGCCCCGGUGGAGCCUGUGUCCUGACCGGAUGUACUUGGACUCUGACCACCCUAGGAUUGGUGGUGUGGUCGGCCUGAGGGUUGUGCUCGCCCCGGAGCAAAGGUACAGAGGGGCUGGGUCCAAAUCCAGUGCCAGCAAAGCGGCAACACUCGACAGCCCCGUGGAACUGGGGCACGAAGGCUACUGAGCAACCUGAACAGGGACGAAGAGUGGAUGUUGUGAUCUGCAGAUGUUAAUGCAUCAAGGAGAAACUUGGGAGAGGUUGUUUUGUGUCAAGGCAUUCUGCAUUAAAUACUUCUUUUGGGAGAAGGAACCUUUCUUCAGCUGUUAACCAGUCCGGUCUCCUCACAUACAGCUACUUCCAUGAGUGAGGGCUGUAGGGGCAGACUCGGGUUACAUUGACAUGUAUGCAGGUCCCUGAUGGAUGGGCUUUCUUGGGUCUUUAAACUAAUAAACCCUGCUCUACAGUAGGUGAAAUGCUGAAGUGAAGUGACUUGCCCCAAGGUCACAGCAGAGUAACGGGAGGGCCAGAAAGCAUCCAGGUCCCCUCUUCAUUGCUUCUUGGCUCCUGUUCCUUCCCCCACAGGGAAGAUUUAGGGGAUGGAAGGGGGAAGGAUACCACGGGGAGGUAGCAUGAAACUGGGGGGUACAUAAUGCCAAGAGCAUGCCCUUGGCUGAGCUCCGAGUGCUGCUUUUACAGCAGUGAUGAGGCCCAAAGGUGCACCCAGCUGGAGUGGGACAGGUAGAGAUGGAGGGAAAUUCAUGUCUUCUGCAUCUGACAUUCAACUGCUACUUGUAAAAAGAGUGAGGAGAGCUCGCCAGGCAAAGAAAUAAGUUACCCUAAUAUAGGUUAAUAGCCAUGCUCUAGUCAAGGGUUUUUUUUUCCUUUUAAGAAAAAAAAUAUAAAAGCCAGAGCAAGUUGAUGGGCUUGCCAGCUGAUGAAUCUUCAUAAUCAUAUAUAAUAUAUGAUUUCUCAUGUUCACAAGCAUUUCCCAUGUAAUUUUCUAGGGAUGGUAGUUGCAAAUAAUGCAGUUGUGUUGUUUGGCUGCUUUGUGCAAUAAAACAUCUGUGUAUCGAAAGCUGGCUCUCG